Molecule: ribosomal RNA, 253 nt
Filed under: uncultured bacterium
Lineage: Bacteria
Description: partial 16S ribosomal RNA
Rfam family: Bacterial small subunit ribosomal RNA
Source: RNAcentral
GACGUAGGGGGCCAGCGUUGUUCGGAAUUACUGGGUGUAAAGGGUUCGUAGGCGGUGUAGUAAGUCGGGAGUGAAAUCUCUGGGCUUAACCCAGAGGCUGCUUCCGAAACUGCUGUGCUUGAGUGUGGGAGAGGCGCGUGGAAUUGCAGGUGUAGCGGUGAAAUGCGUAGAUAUCUGCAGGAACACCCGUGGCGAAAGCGGCGCGCUGGACCACUACUGACGCUGAGGAACGAAAGCUAGGGGAGCAAACAGG